Molecule: ribosomal RNA, 468 nt
Filed under: uncultured bacterium
Lineage: Bacteria
Description: partial 16S ribosomal RNA
Rfam family: Bacterial small subunit ribosomal RNA
Source: RNAcentral
GACGAACGCUGGCGGCGUGCUUAACACAUGCAAGUCGAACGGAAAGGCCCUGCUUUUGUGGGGUGCUCGAGUGGCGAACGGGUGAGUAACACGUGUGUAACCUGCCCUUGACUUUGGGAUAACUUCAGGAAACUGGGGCUAAUACCGGAUAGGAGCUCCUGCUGCAUGGUGGGGGUUGGAAAGUUUCGGCGGUUGGGGAUGGACUCGCGGCUUAUCAGCUUGUUGGUGGGGUAGUGGCUUACCAAGGCUUUGACGGGUAGCCGGCCUGAGAGGGUGACCGGCCACAUUGGGACUGAGAUACGGCCCAGACUCCUACGGGAGGCAGCGGUGGGGAAUAUUGCACAAUGGGCGGAAGCCUGAUGCAGCAACGCCGCGUGCGGGAUGACGGCCUUCGGGUUGUAAACCGCUUUCGCCUGUGACGAAGCGUGAGUGACGGUAAUGGGUAAAGAAGCACCGGCUAACUACGUG